GGAGGGGUGACCGAGAGGCUGAUGGUGCCGCUCUCGAAAAGCGGUGUGGGCUUGUGCUCACCGGGGGUUCGAAUCCCUCCCCCUCCGCCA
Molecule: transfer RNA, 90 nt
Filed under: Dehalococcoidia bacterium
Lineage: Bacteria; Bacillati; Chloroflexota; Dehalococcoidia
Description: tRNA-Ser
Rfam family: tRNA
About the family: Transfer RNA (tRNA) molecules are approximately 80 nucleotides in length. Their secondary structure includes four short double-helical elements and three loops (D, anti-codon, and T loops). Further hydrogen bonds mediate the characteristic L-shaped molecular structure. tRNAs have two regions of fundamental functional importance: the anti-codon, which is responsible for specific mRNA codon recognition, and the 3' end, to which the tRNAs corresponding amino acid is attached (by aminoacyl-tRNA synthetases). tRNAs cope with the degeneracy of the genetic code in two manners: having more than one tRNA (with a specific anti-codon) for a particular amino acid; and 'wobble' base-pairing, i.e. permitting non-standard base-pairing at the 3rd anti-codon position.
Source: RNAcentral